UGCAAGUCGAACGGUGAAGCCUUCGGGUGGAUCAGUGGCGAACGGGUGAGUAACACGUGAGCAACCUGCCCCUGACUCUGGGAUAACUCCGGGAAACCGGGGCUAAUACCGGAUACGACCUCGUACCGCAUGGUGUGUGGUGGAAAGUUUUUCGGUUGGGGAUGGGCUCGCGGCCUAUCAGCUUGUUGGUGGGGUGAUGGCCUACCAAGGCGACGACGGGUAGCCGGCCUGAGAGGGUGACCGGCCACACUGGGACUGAGACACGGCCCAGACUCCUACGGGAGGCAGCAGUGGGGAAUAUUGCGCAAUGGGCGAAAGCCUGACGCAGCGACGCCGCGUGAGGGAUGAAUGCCUUCGGGUUGUAAACCUCUUUCAGCAGGGAAGAAGCGAAAGUGACGGUACCUGCAGAAGAAGCACCGGCUAACUACGUGCCAGCAGCCGCGGUAAUACGUAGGGUGCAAGCGUUGUCCGGAAUUAUUGGGCGUAAAGAGCUCGUAGGCGGUUUGUCGCGUCUGCUGUGAAAACUCAGGGCUUAACCCUGAGCUUGCAGUGGGUACGGGCAGACUAGAGUGCAGUAGGGGAGACUGGAAUUCCUGGUGUAGCGGUGAAAUGCGCAGAUAUCAGGAGGAACACCGGUGGCGAAGGCGGGUCUCUGGGCUGUAACUGACGCUGAGAAGCGAAAGCGUGGGGAGCGAACAGGAUUAGAUACCCUGGUAGUCCACGCCGUAAACGUUGGGCGCUAGGUGUGGGUCUCAUUCCACGAGGUCUGUGCCGCAGCUAACGCAUUAAGCGCCCCGCCUGGGGAGUACGGCCGCAAGGCUAAACUCAAGGAAUUGACGG
RNAcentral lists this ribosomal RNA (840 nucleotides) under uncultured bacterium. RNAcentral describes it as "bacterial SSU rRNA". It matches the Rfam family "Bacterial small subunit ribosomal RNA", at positions 56 to 916 of the family's 1533-position model. The record is from RNAcentral.